GAUAAACGCUGGCGGCAUGCCUAACACAUGCAAGUCGAACGAAGCCUUCGGGCUUAGUGGCGCACGGGUGCGUAACGCGUGGGAAUCUGCCCUUGGGUUCGGAAUAACAGUUAGAAAUGACUGCUAAUACCGAAUGAUGUCGUAAGACCAAAGAUUUAUCGCCCAGGGAUGAGCCCGCGUAGGAUUAGCUAGUUGGUGUGGUAAAGGCGCACCAAGGCGACGAUCCUUAGCUGGUCUGAGAGGAUGAUCAGCCACACUGGGACUGAGACACGGCCCA
Molecule: ribosomal RNA, 277 nt
Filed under: uncultured bacterium
Lineage: Bacteria
Description: partial 16S ribosomal RNA
Rfam family: Bacterial small subunit ribosomal RNA
Source: RNAcentral